Molecule: long non-coding RNA, 549 nt
Organism: Monopterus albus (swamp eel)
Lineage: Eukaryota; Metazoa; Chordata; Actinopteri; Synbranchiformes; Synbranchidae
Exons: 3
Source: RefSeq, a predicted model, not a curated record
ACAACUAAAUUCUCAAUCAGAGUUGGUUGUGAAAUUUUCCUACUUGCCUUUCCAGACACUGACUUGGCUGUUUUUGUGGCUCCUCACAGCUGUGUUGUAUGGUCAGUCCCUGCUCUGUUUUCCUUAUCUCCUUAUUGCUUUGUUUUUGUCUUCUCUCCUGCUCAGGUCCUGAGCAUAGCGGAGUGGGUCACCAAACUGUAUGAAGCUGCAGUGAAGAAGGUGCCUCUCAGUGAGGAGUAUCACUCCCACCUCUUCGUGGCCUACGCUCGGGUGGGGGAGUAGAUGCAGCAGUCAGGAAUGGCUUUGUGUAAAAUCAUCACCAAGAACCCAUAUCACUUCUGGUCUGUCAUGAGUCUGGUGAUGCAGGCCACCUCAGCACAAGAUGAGAGAUUGACCCAGACCAUGUUCCUGUUUCUGGCUGAAUGCAUGGCGGAGAAAAAUGGUAAAGGAGGAGAAGAUGGAAGCAGAAGCAGAGGUGAGGUAGUUGUCUGCUGAUAUUGUUUCUGCUAAGCUCAAGGUCUGUUCUGGAUAUGAAAGCUGUUUUUUUUU